Alligator mississippiensis (American alligator) is the source of this 1896-nucleotide long non-coding RNA. RefSeq lists it as uncharacterized. NCBI's taxonomy places the organism in Eukaryota, Metazoa, Chordata, Crocodylia, Alligatoridae. The record is from RefSeq and is a predicted model, not a curated record. The transcript is spliced from 2 exons.
UCCUUCACUGGCCUCAGAAUAAUUACCUCUCAUGCAGUGUAAAGAGGCCAGGGUUCAGAAAGCCCUUUUUGAAGGUCACCAAUGGCUUUGUGACACCAGGGGACUCCUCCAGGGGCUCUGGGAUGCCUCGAUGAUGCCCCAAGCUAACAUCUGUUCUAGUUCACUUCGUACUGGGGUGUAGAAUGCCUGGGGUAGCCUCCUCCAGUGUUCUCGUACCACCUAUCCAGGGCUCACCUUGCUACAGCAGCCUUUGAUCUGCCACAGCCCCAGCUGGUUUGAGAUGAGGCGCUUUUCCCAUCUGGGCUCACCGUGGUUUCUCCUGCCUCUAGGGUGUUGCACCAAGGAGAUGUAUACAGGAACCCAGGAAGGAAACAGAAGGAUCAAACUACCUUUACCAUAUGGCUGCUGGAAGCAUUUCAUUGCUGAGCAUCUGUAAUAGCAAGUCCUAAAUAUAUGGGGCAGCAUCAGCACCAAGCAUACAAAUAACAGUAUAACACCAGGAUGCCAUGCCCUUCUAAGCAAUAUCUGGAUUCAAACUGGAGAUUUUAUUGUUUAUGACGUGUUCUUGGUGACCUGAGGAUUCAAGGUUCAAAAGCUCUUGCUCCUAUGGAUUAUCACCAACUACUUAAAUGCUCUGCAGUUGCAGAGAUCUUAAAGAGGUUGCCUUUAGGGAUGGAAAGGGAUGAUUGCUGGCCAAAGUAAAUAAGUUAAGCAUUUAGUCUGAAUUCCUUUCUAUAUAGUUUUGGAACUCAAGGGAGCUGCUUGUCAGGGACAGGGCUGAGGACCACUGGUUGGGAUGGAUUAAGAACUAAAGGGGCACGUCUACACAUGCGCCCCACAGCACAAUUGGUACUCUGCAGUCAUUUAUUCCUUUCUACUAAAGCUAAAGCAAGUGCUAAAUGACUGCGCAGUACCCACUGGUACUGCAGUCCUAGAAGUGCACAGGUCAUUACUGACCCUACUGUGCACUAGCUCAUUGCUAUUGUGCAGUAGCUGUGGCAUCAUGGUUAGUGCCCGCCUAUACUACGUCGCCAUAGCGAUGAACUACAUCGCCGUAGCUCAUUGUUAUGGUGACAUAGCAUCUUGUGUAGAUGUGCCCAAGGAGAAUUGGAGGAUUUGGUCCCAAGAGAGGAGCAGCAUAAGGAAGACAAGGAUUUCAGAAAUCCCAGGUGUGAUUUACUAGGCCUGUGCGAAGUGGCUAGUGUUCGCCUCGGAUUCAGAUUUGGCUGAUUUGGAGGACAGUGAUUCAAUUUGAUGAUUCGAAUCACUGUCCUGAUUCGAUUCGGCUGAAUCUAAUUUGGAGAUUUGGCAGCAGCCAAAUCUCUGAAUCUCCGAAUCAACCAGGUCAGGCCCAUCCCCCACCCCUCUCCCAGCCCAGCAAUGGCUGCCCCGCCAACCCCAGCUCCUGGCACUUGGGUGGAAAAAAGCCCCAGCUCAGUCGGUGCUGCCAGGCAGGGGGGGAGGUUAUCUCCACUGCCCCACACUGUGUGGGGGGCUCUGCAUGAGCCCCUGAACCCCCCUCACUUCCCCAGCCCCCUCACAGGUGUCCCACCUGGGCCAGCUCCAGCCCUUUAAGAAAAAAAAACCUGAAGUAACCCUGGGACUCACCGCCCCUGCUGGGGGGGGGAGGGGGGGGCUCUGCAGGAGCCCCCGAAGCCCCGAGGCAGCACCCAGUGAGCACCAGGGCUUUUUUUUAAAGUACCAAGCUGGGGCAGACGGGGGCAGCCACUGGGGGGCUGGGGGAGUGGGUGAGGGUUGGGGGAGCAGGGGGGGGUUGGAGGGGCUGGCAGGGGUCCCCCCAUGGUCCCCUCCUCCAGCCCUGCCUCCCCUGCCCCUAGUACUUACUAGCUUGGAGUGGCUGCAGCUCCCUGCUGCAGCCACCGGGUACUGUCCAAA